UAGCUUGACAUUGAAAAGUGAGGAAGCAACAAUUACAAAGACGCCAAGGGAUUAUUUGAAGGCGAAAUCGCCAAAGAGAAGCGUGAACUAUCUAGUAGCACACGCCGGAGAGGAUGAAUCGAUUGAGAGACAAGAAAAUGAAGACGACGACGGAAGAGCAAGUGUUGAGGACGACGACGAAGAGGACGAAUUAAUGUCGUCCGAUUAAAGUUUUUUUUUUACGACAGGUGAGGGACGGGGAAAUGGAUUCGCCGGUAAAAAACUCGCCGAGAUAAUCGCCGGAGUCGAGAUGAUGUUAGCGUUGUGAUGAUUUAAGAGUAUUGACUGCUUAGAUAAAUGAAAUUGUUAAGUCGUCGUGGAGGGAUUGGGUGAGAAAGAGAGGUUUCUUACAAAUUGGUUUUUAUUUAUAAAUUGAGAUUAGAGAAUUAAACCGAAAUUGGUUUAAGGGUAAAAGGGACAAUUUUUUUAUUGAAAGUGCCCUAUGUUCUGAAAGUGUCGUAUCUUGGAAAUUGUUUGAGAAAAGUGUCUUUGAGUGUAAUAUUCUCUUUCAUUUAUGUAUUUUUU
This 564-nucleotide small RNA is filed under the name Arabidopsis thaliana (thale cress). RNAcentral describes it as "ATSL119040". The record is from RNAcentral. Lineage: Eukaryota; Viridiplantae; Streptophyta; Magnoliopsida; Brassicales; Brassicaceae.